GCCAGCCCGCUCAGAAACUCAAAGGAAGUUGACGGGGGCCCGCACAAGCGGUGGAGCAUGUGGUUUAAUUCGAUGAUACGCGAGGAACCUUACCUGGGCUCAAAUGUAUGUUGACGUAUUCUGAAAGGGAUACUUCUUCGGACAAUAUACAAGGUGCUGCAUGGUUGUCGUCAGCUCGUGCCGUGAGGUGUCGGGUUAAGUCCCAUAACGAGCGCAACCCCUAUCAUUAGUUGCCAGCAGUUCGGCUGGGCACUCUAAAGGGACUGCCGGUGUUAAACCGGAGGAAGGUGGGGAUGACGUCAAGUCCUCAUGGCCUUUAUGACCAGGGCUACACACGUACUACAAUGGCCGAUACAAAGGGCAGCGACACUGCGAGGUGAAGCCAAUCCCGUAAAAUCGGUCUCAGUCCGGAUUGGAGUCUGCAACUCGACUCCAUGAAGUUGGAAUCGCUAGUAAUCGUGGAUCAGCAUGCCACGGUGAAUACGUUCCCGGGCCUU
Molecule: ribosomal RNA, 497 nt
Filed under: uncultured Desulfobulbus sp.
Lineage: Bacteria; Pseudomonadati; Thermodesulfobacteriota; Desulfobulbia; Desulfobulbales; Desulfobulbaceae
Description: bacterial SSU rRNA
Rfam family: Bacterial small subunit ribosomal RNA
Source: RNAcentral